Molecule: ribosomal RNA, 1366 nt
Filed under: metagenome
Description: bacterial SSU rRNA
Rfam family: Bacterial small subunit ribosomal RNA
Source: RNAcentral
AGAGUUUGAUCCUGGCUCAGGACGAACGCUGGCGGCACGCUUAACACAUGCAAGUCGAACGAGAGAAGAGGAGCUUGCUUUUCUGAUCUAGUGGCGGACGGGUGAGUAACACGUGAGCAAUCUGCCUUUCAGAGGGGGAUACCGAUUGGAAACGAUCGUUAAUACCGCAUAACAUAAUUGAACCGCAUGAUUUGAUUAUCAAAGAUUUAUCGCUGAAAGAUGAGCUCGCGUCUGAUUAGCUAGUUGGUAAGGUAACGGCUUACCAAGGCGACGAUCAGUAGCCGGACUGAGAGGUUGAUCGGCCACAUUGGGACUGAGACACGGCCCAGACUCCUACGGGAGGCAGCAGUGGGGAAUAUUGCACAAUGGAGGAAACUCUGAUGCAGCGAUGCCGCGUGAGGGAAGAAGGUUUUAGGAUUGUAAACCUCUGUCUUCAGGGACGAAAAAAGACGGUACCUGAGGAGGAAGCUCCGGCUAACUACGUGCCAGCAGCCGCGGUAAUACGUAGGGAGCGAGCGUUGUCCGGAAUUACUGGGUGUAAAGGGAGCGUAGGCGGGAUCGCAAGUCAGAUGUGAAAACUAUGGGCUUAACCCAUAAACUGCAUUUGAAACUGUGGUUCUUGAGUGAAGUAGAGGUAAGCGGAAUUCCUAGUGUAGCGGUGAAAUGCGUAGAUAUUAGGAGGAACAUCAGUGGCGAAGGCGGCUUACUGGGCUUUAACUGACGCUGAGGCUCGAAAGCGUGGGGAGCAAACAGGAUUAGAUACCCUGGUAGUCCACGCCGUAAACGAUGAUUACUAGGUGUGGGGGGACUGACCCCUUCCGUGCCGCAGCAAACGCAAUAAGUAAUCCACCUGGGGAGUACGACCGCAAGGUUGAAACUCAAAGGAAUUGACGGGGGCCCGCACAAGCAGUGGAGUAUGUGGAUUAAUUCGAAGCAACGCGAAGAACCUUACCAGGUCUUGACAUCGUAUGCAUAGCUCAGAGAUGAGUGAAAUCUCUUCGGAGACAUAUAGACAGGUGGUGCAUGGUUGUCGUCAGCUCGUGUCGUGAGAUGUUGGGUUAAGUCCCGCAACGAGCGCAACCCUUACUGUUAGUUGCUACGCAAGAGCACUCUAGCAGGACUGCCGUUGACAAAACGGAGGAAGGUGGGGAUGACGUCAAAUCAUCAUGCCCCUUAUGACCUGGGCCUCACACGUACUACAAUGGCUGUCAACAGAGGGAAGCAAAGCCGCGAGGUGGAGCGAACCCCUAAAAGCAGUCUUAGUUCGGAUUGUAGGCUGCAACCCGCCUACAUGAAGUCGGAAUUGCUAGUAAUCGCAGAUCAGCAUGCUGCGGUGAAUACGUUCCCGGGCCUUGUACACACCGCC